Molecule: ribosomal RNA, 468 nt
Filed under: uncultured bacterium
Lineage: Bacteria
Description: partial 16S ribosomal RNA
Rfam family: Bacterial small subunit ribosomal RNA
Source: RNAcentral
GACGAACGCUGGCGGCGUGCUUAACACAUGCGAGUCGAACGGAAAGGCCCUGCUUUUGUUUGGUGCUCGAUUGGCGAACGGGUGAGUAACACGUGAGUAACCUGCCCUUGUCUUUCUGAUAACUUCAGGAAACUCCGGCUCUUACCGGAUAUAAUCUCCUGCUGCAUGGUGUUGGUUGGAAAGUUUCGGCGGUUGGGGAUGGACUCGCGGCUUAUCAGCUUGUUGGUCGGGUAGUGGCUUUCCAAGGGUUUGACGGGUAGCCGGCCUGAGAGGCUGACCGGGGACCAGGGGACUGAGGGAGGGAGCAGUAGGGAACGGGAGGCAGUAGGGGGGAGUAUUACAGAGUGGGGGGAAGCGUGAGGUAGAGAUGUUGGGUGCGGGAUGACGGCUUAUGGGUUGUAAACAGAUUUGGAAUGAGACGAAGAGGGAGUGACGGUAACGGGUAAAGAAGCACCGGCUAACUACGUG